This 65-nucleotide transfer RNA is filed under the name Stygobromus foliatus. RNAcentral's name for it is "tRNA-Leu". Lineage: Eukaryota; Metazoa; Arthropoda; Malacostraca; Amphipoda; Crangonyctidae. The record is from RNAcentral.
AUUUUAAGGAGACAGAUAUAUGUGACAGGCUUAAAAUUUGUUUAUGGGCGCCUGCCCCUUUAAAA